RNAcentral lists this transfer RNA (71 nucleotides) under Micromonospora pisi. RNAcentral describes it as "Micromonospora sp. GUI15 tRNA". It matches the Rfam family "tRNA". From Rfam's summary of the family: Transfer RNA (tRNA) molecules are approximately 80 nucleotides in length. Their secondary structure includes four short double-helical elements and three loops (D, anti-codon, and T loops). Lineage: Bacteria; Bacillati; Actinomycetota; Actinomycetes; Micromonosporales; Micromonosporaceae. The record is from Rfam by way of RNAcentral.
GCGGCUGUAGCUCAACGGCAGAGCGCCACCUUGCCAUGGUGGAUACCGGGGUUCGAUUCCCCGCAGCCGCU